UUUUUUUUCGGAUGGGUCGUUCGACGUUAUGCGCGAAUGGAAUUAUGAACCGUUGGUUCAUUCACAAAGUGACUCACAGUGCCGGGGCAUUUUACUUUAUAUUGGAACGAGAAGGAGAGAUGCUGAGUGCACGUACAAGGAAACAAAUGACAGGAAGGGGGAUGGAAGGAGAAAGAGUGUAUGUAUUUGAGGCGCAGAAUGAAACAUGAGGGAUCAUACCAGCACU
RNAcentral lists this long non-coding RNA (226 nucleotides) under Carica papaya (papaya). RNAcentral's name for it is "long non-coding RNA (CPAP_LNC015586)". The record is from RNAcentral. Lineage: Eukaryota; Viridiplantae; Streptophyta; Magnoliopsida; Brassicales; Caricaceae.